AAACUAUCCAACAAUCCAUCUAUCCAAUUAUCGGACCAUCCAUCUCUCCAACCACCCAUCUAUCCAACUAUCCAUCUAUCCAACCACCCAUCUAUCCACUAUGCAGUCAUCCAACUAUCCAGUCAUCAAACUAUCCAACAAUCCAUCUAUCCAAGUACCCAGUCUCCCAACUAUCCAACUAUCCAAUCAUUAAACUAACCAUCCAUCUUUUAUGCCUGACAAAAAAAAAAAAGACCAACCUAGACAUGACUCCCAUUUUCACUGUUCAUGG
Molecule: non-coding RNA, 271 nt
Organism: Pelobates cultripes (western spadefoot toad)
Lineage: Eukaryota; Metazoa; Chordata; Amphibia; Anura; Pelobatidae
Source: the annotation of a GenBank genome assembly